CAGGUUUUAAGGAUAUUUCUGCUAAUGCUGUGUGUCUCACAAUUUCCCUGUGAUUUGCCUGUGAAAAUUUCAUCGCAUGACUGUAACGGGCAUCACGAUCCGGUACACGACGGAAGGCUGGCUCUGAUGAUGGCGAUAUGAGAAAGUUUGUAAAAGUAACAACAUGGUAAAUAGAAUUUGGAAAUGAUCCUCUAUCCUGAAGUGCUAAAAAAGGAUCCCUCCAUGAUUUCCUGAAUGUUUCUGUCGUCAAGGUGUAGAAAUUACUUAUGAGAGAGGAACUGAGAGGAAGAAAACACCAGAGUGCUGCUGUUACUGCUGGUGCUAUACCUGAUCCUGAACAGUAGAAACCGUGGUGACUGUGUAUCCUCUUAAAGUUGCUAUGUAAGAGUGAACCUGGUGAAUGGCUUCAAAUCAAGGGUUUUACUCUCAAGCUUUGGAAAAGCAUAUGACCAUCACUGAGGAAGGCAUUCCUAUGGUCCCAGCAUCACAGAGAGUGCCUGACUGGUUGAAGGGGACUUGUGAUCAUCUAGUCUAAUCCCCACCCUGGUCAAGCAGUGUCAGCUACAGCUGGUUGCCCAGGGCUAUGUCCAGUUGUGUUUCGGAUAUCUACAAAGUUGGAGACACCAUGACCUCUGUGAGUAACCUGUGGCAGUGUUUGACGAUCUU
Molecule: long non-coding RNA, 666 nt
Filed under: Falco tinnunculus (common kestrel)
Lineage: Eukaryota; Metazoa; Chordata; Aves; Falconiformes; Falconidae
Description: lncRNA (ENSFTIG00000015578.1)
Source: RNAcentral